This 26589-nucleotide long non-coding RNA is filed under the name Daucus carota (carrot). RNAcentral's name for it is "long non-coding RNA (DCAR_LNC005909)". The record is from RNAcentral. Lineage: Eukaryota; Viridiplantae; Streptophyta; Magnoliopsida; Apiales; Apiaceae.
UCUAAUCAAUUUUCAAUGAAAUCAACACCAAAGAAACUGGACCAUCAAAACAAACUGUUGCACUACCAACUAAACCAUCUUCCUAUAUAAACCCCCAAACUCUACGCUUAAGCAUACAUAACUACAACAAAUACUCUUUGAAGAAAGUGAAAUGGCAGGUUCUAAAGGUUCGAAAUCUGGUGGUUCUCCCUCAGUGGGCUCCAAAACGGGUGGUUCUGCUGCUUCGAGCACGAAAAGUGGUGGUUCCCAGAAAGGUUCUGGCGGGUCCUCGGGAAGCAAGGUCCAGGGAUCAAGUAACGAUACUAUGAAGGCUCCUGGGCAGGAUGGGUUCAUCUCAAGGAGUGGUUUUGAGAGUGACCCUAAAGGCUAUUUCAAAGGUGUUCGUGAUUAAGUCUGAAUAAUUAAGCAAGUAAUCAAGUGUCGAUCUAUGCAAUAUAUAUAGCUAUUAUGAAGUGUAUGAUCUCCGGCAUUUGAUCUAUAUAUAUAAAUUAAAGCUUUAUAUUAAUAUUCCAAGUAUGUUCUUGAAUUUUAUUGCGCAUGAAUGCUGAAGACCAGUAAAAGUGUUAUUGGAAAACAGAACAAAUCUUCAUUAAGGUGUGACAAAAAUAGAAUUUUAAUGAGUGAUGAUCAUGUAGACAACGAGUUCGUUCAUAACAUUCAGAUGGUUACAGCUUUCUGAAACAAGCAUAUGUCGCAUGAUUAAGCAUUAAACUAAAUCGUUUCUAUUGCAGUAUGUUUAUUUACUACUAUAAAACAGCACAAAUCAAUUAUUAGAAUUAUUUUGUAAUGAGAUGAUUAAAUAUUAGAGGAAACUAAAAUACAUGUUGAGUUGCUAUAAUGUUGAUGUAAUAUUCUAUGAACCUCUGUUUGCUGCUGUUUUUUCUAUUAGGAUACAAAAUUAAAUGAGGAUUUAUUUUCUGUUAGAGUUACUUUAAAAUGUAUCUUGGAUGUAAAAUUUUCAUAUUUAAUAUAUCCUUAUUCAAAUUUUUCAUAUUUAAUAUAUCCUUAUUCAAAUUAAGUUAGGGUGUAAUUUAUAAUUUUUAAAGUUUUAGAAAUAAUUUGUUACAUGUCAUUGUGAUUUGCCGGCAUAUAUUUAAAUUAAAAAACACAAUUCUGUUAUUUAUUGUUACAUUUUUUAAACUCAAAUAAAAAAUUAAAAAAAAUAUUUUAGGAAAGAGAAGAUUCAUAAAUAAUUCAAGUCAUCAAAAUAAAUUUGGUAGGAUGUAUUUAUUUGAACAACUUAUUUUUUCAAUCAAUUUUUUAACAAAAACUAAUUCAUUACUCAAAUAACUAGUUUAUAAAUUUAUUUUUGUUGUUAAAAUACAGAAUUACUUGAACAUCUAAUUUAAACUAUACGCAUAAGUUGUUAUUUUAAACUCGCUAAAUGGACUACCAGUCACAUGCUUAUUAGUGAGUUUCCUAUACUUCAAAUACAGGCAUCUAAGCGAUCCAUCUUUCACACCGUCUCUAAUCAAUAUUCAUCGGAAAUCAACACCAAGAAGCUGGAACAUCAAAACAAACUUUUGCACUUCCAACUAAACAAUCUGUUUCAUAUGUCUCUUCCUAUAUAAGCCCCCAAACUCUCCGCUUAAGCACACAUAACUACAACAAGUAUAUACUCUGUGCAGAAAGUGAAAAUGGCAGGUUCUAAAGGCUCGAAAUCUGGUGGUUCUACCUCAAUGGGCUCCAAAACGGGUGGUUCUGCUGCUUCGAGCACGAAAAGUGGUGGUGGUUCGCAAAAAGGUUCUGGUGGGUCCUCAUUGAGAGUGACCGGAAAGGCUAUUUCAAAGGUCUUCGUGAUUAAGUCUGAAUAAUUAAGCAAGUAAUCUAAGUGUCGAUCUAUGCAAUAUAUAUAGUUAUUAUGAAGUGUAUGAUCUCCGGAAUUUGAUCUAUAUAUAAAAAUUAAAGCUUUAUAUUAAUUAUCAACUAUGUUCUUGAAUUUUAUUGUGCAUGCAUGCUGAAGACCCAGUAAAAGUUUUAUUGGAAAACAGAACAAAUCUUCAUUAAGGUGUGCUAAAAAUGGAUUUUUAAUGAGUCAUGAUCACCACCUGAUUAACGAGUUCAUAACAUUUAGAUUGUUACACUUACCUUGCAUGAUUAAGCAUUAAAUUAGAUGAUUUCUAGUUGCAUAGUUGCAUGCCGUAGUAGGUUUUUUACUAUGAAAAAACACGAAUUUAUCAUCCUAUUAGAAUAGGUUACAGAUUUAAAAUAUAAGAGGAAACAAAAAUACAUUUAAUAAAUUCCGCUUACUCUUGAUAUCAAGAUGUAUCACAUGUAAUAUGAGUUUAUACCAUUGCAGAAGUAAAUCAGUUGUUAGCAUGGUACAAAAAUUAAGAUUAAUAAAAUGUAUGCCUGUUAUAUUUAAUACAUUUCCUAAAUUAUCUUAGGACGGUUAAAUAAUUUGUGAGUAAUUAUAUUUAAUACUCUUUAAUCUUUAAUGAGUUGUCAUUAUAAUUUUCUGCACAUAUCUGAAAUAAAAAUCUUAACUCCAUUCAUAUAUAUAUAUAUUUUUUAAAUAAAAAUAUAAGUAAAAAAAUUAUUUUAAAAAUGAGAAUUUAAAAAAAAAAUCUAAAAAUUAAUCUUUCCACUUUAAAUAUCUGUAUUUUGAAUUUUUGAUAUGCAUUUUAAGUUAUUUUGGCUAUAUAAUUGAAAAAUAUUUUACAAAUUUUCUUUAUCAGAACAAAAGUAAUCGAGCAUACAUUAUUUAUAUAAAAAAUUUAAGAAAAACCUACGUGUUCUUAAGAAUAUUUAACUUAUACUACUUUAAUUAUAGACCAUGAAACUUAACGUCGUUUUUUUUUCCCCACGGAAAGUAAAGAUUUUAUUAAUGCAAUAAAUCUUUACAAAGCACAAAUUCAAAGUCAGGAUGGAUAUCUUCCACCUCCCAUCUACGAUCAGCUAUAGAACAGCUAUAUCUUGCUAAAUAGUGAGCUACUAUAUCUUGCUAAAUAGUGAGCUACUAUGUUCGCGGACCGUCUCACAAACCUUAACACAAUGUUUUGAGCACAUAAAUCUGAAAGAAGAGAUCUGCAGUCCUCGAUCACCUUUCCUAGAUAAGAUAAACUAGAGAAAGAGUGCGAAUGAGCUGCACAACCUGUAAGCAAUCAGUUUCCAACACUACAUUACUCAGACACUUUUGUUUCGUCCAACUGAGGGCUUCUUUAAUACCCAGAGCUUCUGCAAAUUUGGGAGUUACACAGCCUGGAGAACAUUUUGAGAUAGCUUCGAUUAGAGUACCACAAUGAUCACGAAUAAUAAAAGCUUAGCUGUAUCGUCUUGGAUCUUCGAAGAUAGCUGCAUCGAUAUUAAUCUUAACACUAUUUUCUGUUGGGAGAUUCCACUGUUCUUGACCGUCUUCAGAGGUCAUAAAACCUAAGAAAGAGUCAUAAUUUUUGUCUUGAACAGAUCGCCAUUGGUUAAGAAAGGAGAGUGCCGAAUUCAUUACCUCGAGGGGGUCGAUACUACGUUGCUUCCAUAUUGAAUCAUUCCUGUUCUUCCAUAUUAUCCAGCAUAGAGUUGCAUGGGUAUAUAUCUCUUCCAGAUGUUGGUGACCAAUUAAAGCAUGAAGCCAAUCUGCAAAUGAUAUGACUGAACCUUGAAGUGUGGAUAGAAAUGAACUUCCCACAAGCUUGUGACAGUAAUCUGCAAAUGUGCAUGAGACCAGGGCAUGCAUAACAGUUUCUGGUUCCUCAUUACAAAUGGGACACAGAGAAUUAACAUUCACAUUCCUAGCACGUAAAAGAUCUUUAGUUGGUAAGCACCCAGAAGCAGCACGCCACAUAAAUUUUUUUACCUUGGAUGGUAUUUUCAAUUGCCACAAUUUUCUCCAGAACCCAGAGUUGUCAGCAGAAUUAGGAUUGGCCUUGGACUUUUGAAUGCUGAUGUACGCGCUCUUGACAGAAUAAUGACCCAUCUUUUCAUGUCUCCAAUACCAGGUAUCUUUGACGUUCUCUUGAAGGGGGAUUGAAAGAAUAAGCUCUGCAUCCCGUGUUUCAAACACGUCCGUGAUCAAGUCCACGUCCCAUACUGAUUCCCCUGUAUGCAUUAAGGAGGCCACCUUUUUGUUAACAAUUGAAUCACUAACAGUAUGAAUAUAAGGGUCCUCUGUAAAAGGAAGCCAUGGAUUGUGCAAUAUAUCAAUGUUCUGGCCAUUGCCUACGCGACAAGAAAUGCCCUGAGCAAUCAGAUUCUGAGUUUCGAACAUGCUACGCCAGACAUAGCUUGGAUUUACACCAAGCUUAGCCGUUAGAAACGUUCCGUUAGAAUAAUAUCGGGCCUUGUAAACUUUGCUGACCAACUUAUCAGGAUGAGUCACCAAUCUCCAAGCCUGGCUUCCCAGUAAAGCAAUAUUGAAGUCUCGAAGACACCUGAAGCCCAUACCUCCUUCAAGCUUGGUCGAACAUAGUCUACUCCAACACAUCCAAUGGAUGUUUUUAUUUUUAGCAGGGUCUGUUCUCCACCAGAAUUUAGACAUGACCAUUUCUAAAUCCUUGCACACUUCAAGAGGGAGCAGAAAAACACUCAUUGAGUAACUAGGAAGGGUCUGAGCGACAGACUUAAUUAGAAUUUCUUUCCCUCCUUUCGAUAAAUUUUUCUUGUCCCAGCCUUGGAUUCUCUCUUGUAACCUCUCCUUUAUAAACCCAAAAACUUCUGAUUUUUUGCCAGAAAUCAUAUUUGGAAGGCCUAGAUAUAGACUAUUAGCUCCUGCUUCUUUGAUUUGCAGCUGGUGAUAAAUCUCUGACUUAAGAUGGGAACUGCAAUUACGGCUAUAGAAUACUGAAGAUUUGUCUGCAUUAAUCUGCUGCCCGGAAGCCUUCUCAAAUGCUUUCAACAUAUUCAGAACAUGUUUUGCACUUUCUACAUUUGCUUUACAAAAGAUAUAACAAUCAUCUGCGAAAAACAUGUGGGAGAUAGGAGGCGCAUUACGAGCAACUUUGAUGCCUUGAAUCAGACCUUUCUUCUCAUAUUCAGAAAUCAAAGAAGUGAAUCCUUCUAUACAGAUUAAAAAUAGAUAAGAGGACAAGGGAUCACCUUAUCUAAGGCCACGAGUGGGAACAAUUCGACCAAAAUUUCUUCCGGCAUGACUAACUUGAUAAUUGACUGAGCUCAUACAAGCCAUGAAUAAUCGGAUUGCCUUCUCUUCGAAACCCAGCUUGCGCAACACUGCUUCCAAAUAACUCCACUCAACACGGUCAUAGGCUUUACUCAUAUCAAUUUUAAGGCCAUCCAACCUUGCUUGACUUUAGUUUUGCGCUUCAUGAAAUGCAUUACUUCAUAUGCUACCAUGAUAUUAUCUGUGAUCAGACGACCAGGAAUAAAAGCGCUUUGAGUAUCAGAAAUAAUUGAAUCAAUGAAUGAUUUCAAUCGGUUAGCUAACACUUUCGAGAGCACUUUGUAUACAACGUUACAUAGCGAGAUCGGUCUUUAAUUAACACAAAAAUUGGAAAAGCAAAAAUUUAACUAUAUCAAUAUCUUUAAAUGUGUGUGAGAAAACACCAAAUGUCGAUUAUUUGAAUAAAAAGUAUACGUGUGAGUGCUUAAUCUUGGACAACUUGUGAAAAUCUGUCAUGAUUCUGAUGCAAACAAGAGGAUUACUGUGGCACAAAUGGUGGACGAGAUCAGGGCGUUGUAUGGUGCUGGUCAUCUAACAACGACAAAUUUACUUUCAUGGACCGUUUUUCUUCUAGCAGUGGACACAGAUUGGCAGGAUAAAGCUAGGAAGGAAGUGGUUGAACACUUUGGCCAGGAAAAUCCUUCAUCUGAUGGCAUUGCCAGGCUUAAAUCCGUAAGAAUUUUACAGACCUAAUCAACACAUACACGCACACACAAGUAAUAUGAUCUCUGGAUUUUAAUCAUCGUCAUGGUUCUGUUUUAAUUUUCUUGUAGAUGAACAUGAUUAUAAACGAGUCACUCAGACUCUAUCCACCCGUGCUUACUGUGACAAUAGCAGUUAAAAAGGAAGUAAAAUUAGGAAGCCUCACUCUUCCUCCAAAUCUCAGCAUUUUCAUUUCCAUACUCGCUCUUCAUCACGAUCCUCAGAUAUGGGGCAAAGAUGUUCAUCUCUUCAAACCAGAGAGAUUUUCUGAAAGGGUGGCUAAAGCGACAAACAACAAUGCUGCAGCAUUCAUUCCUUUCGGUAUGGGGCCUCGGACUUGUGUGGGACUGAACUUCACAACAAAUGAAUCAAAGAUUGCACUUUCAAUGAUCCUGCAGAGGUACAAGUUCUCACUGUCCCCAAACAAUGUUCAUCACCCGGCUGAUAUAUUUAUCCUCACCCCGAAAAAUGGAGUUAAAGUGAUACUUCAGAAACUGUAACUCUUUGCAGAAGAAACUACUUAUGCAACUCUGAAGUUGUUUGUAUGAUCAAUAUGUAAAUAGGAUUAAGGUUACAUUGUAAGCAAUGAAUGUGAAAUAAAUAAUAAUGUCAUUGUACAUUAGAUAAGUUAAAGAUUAUGGUAUCUAAUCAUUUUCAUUAUGGUAUUAACACUGUUUUGAUGUGAGAUCAUGGACCACUAUGUUUGGUAGUAUAAUUAUGGACCACUAAGUUUGAUGUAAGAUGAAAGCUGCUUUAUCAUGCUCUAAUAUGUAACAAGUUUUGUAAGAUACAAUGAUUGUCUUUGCACUGAUUAAAAUUUGAUGAAUAAAUUAGACCUCUAAAAUAUGUAAAAUUUAAUAAAAUAUUCUGUUUUUUUUUUUGCCAGUAAAUAUUCUGUUUCGAUAGUAUAGGCUAUAAUAAAUGAUUAUUCCCUCAUUUCCUGUAGAUUAUAAACAUUAGAUGAUGGAGACGUGACACACUCCUAUAAAAUAUAGUUUUGUAACUUAUUUUUAAUAUUUUUUUUUAAUAAAUAUUUAAUAUCUAAAUUUUUGUUCAUGAAUUUUUUUAAAAAAAAUAAGUUAUAAAACUAUAUUUUAUAAGAGUAUUAAAGUGUGUGCCGAACAAUGAAAAAAUGUAUAAAAAUGAGUGAGACGGGCUGAGUAUAUCUUUAAAAUAGUAUGUUAUUUAUUAUUUUAAACUAUCAUCAAUAAAAUAUUAUAUUUUAAUAUAUAAGUAGAUAACACGUUUCACUACAUAUUUCUACAUGUUCAAUAGAUAUAAAUUAUAAUCAAUAUCACAAUUGAUUAUAAUUAUAAACAACAAUUCAUUAUAAUUAUAAACAACAAUUCUGUAUAAUUGAAAUGAUACAAAAUAAGGAUAAGUAAAUACGCAAAUGGGAAGUUCCACCUAUGUGUAAUAUUUAAUUUUUCUGUCAUAUAGCAUAUAUAAUUAUUUUAUUUAAAUAACAAACAUAAUAAUUUUAAGAUUAAUGGAAAUUAGGUAACAGCUUGAACUGAAAAGAUUCCAUACGUGUUUGAUAAAGAUGACUUAAAUUUCUUCCGAUGUCUACACUAUUCACUCCAACAAUUUACAUUCAUAGUCAUUGUUGUUCGAUCUUUUUUCAUUCUUGCAGUUGUGCAUAUAUCAAUGAAAAUGCAAGUUAUGCAUGACAAAAGUUUGAAUAGUCAAAAUAUUGUGAAAUCAAAAAGAAAUGCCAUGAUUCUUUCAAAAUUUAAUAACAUAAGUCAGUACAUUGUUAGAUGUGAGUUUAUAUAUACACACAUACAUACUCCCAUUUUAACUGAUAUUUGAUUUUUAUAUUAUUUGUUAUCUUAUCUGUUCAAUUACUAAAUUUGAAAUUUUAUUAGAAAAUUAUAUAAGAAACCCUUUAUUAUGAAAAUUUAAACUUAACCAAAUUAAACAUAUGAUGUAUAAAUUCAAGACUUGAAAAUUCGUACUCGUGGAUGAACAUUUGGUGUUAAUAAUCUUGUUUUAAAAAUUUGAAAUAUAUUUAUCAUUUCAUAAUGUAAAGCUAGUAUCACCCGAAUUCCUUUAACUUGAUCGAUUAAACUAAUUUUCAAGAAGAUAGAUUCCAAAUAAAUAAAAUAGAUUUUUUUUGCUUUUUGAAAUUUAUGAUGCAUUUCAGUUAUACUAUAGAGUUGAAAUAUAAAGAAUGUAAGAGGUAUAGAUUUUAGUUUAUUUAAAUUGGAUUAUAUUAAAAUAUGGAUUAUAUUAAAGUUUUGAUGAAGGUUAUAUGUGUAUAUAUCAAUUUCAACAAAUCGCUUGAUUGUGUCUUUGCAAAGAUUAGAUUAAUCAGCGAUAUGAUCUGUUUCAUGUUUGUUCGACUCGAUUGUUCUUGUAGAUGCCGUAUGGCUUUUCAUUAUCGAAUUAAUUUCUUCUUUUUUUUUUUUUUCAAAAAAAGAAGAAAAGACCCUCAAUGUAGAGGUACUUGACCCAGCUACCUUGGAUACUUUUAGUUUUAAAGCCGAAAAUUAUAUGUUUGUGUAUAAGUUAUUAAGUGAUUUAAAAUUAAAAAUAAAUCAGAAUUUCAAGUCAAUCAAAAUUUGGAGGAUGUAUUUAUUUGAACAACUUAUUUUUUCUUGAACAUCUAAUUUAAACUAUACGCAUGAGUGCAUAACUCACUAAAUGGACUACCAGUCACAUGCUUAUUGCUUAGUGAGUUUCCAUACUUCAAAUACAGGCAUCUAAACGAUCCAUCUUUCAAACCGUCUCUAAUCAAUUCUCAUUGAAAUCAACACCAAAGAAGCUGGACCAUCAAAACAAACUUUUGCACUUCCAACUAAACCAUCUGUUUCAUAUCUCUCUUCCUAUAUAAACCCCCAAACUCUCCGCUUAAGCAUACAUAACUACAACAAGUAUAUACUCUGUGCAGAAAGUGAAAAUGGCAGGUUCUAAAGGCUCGAAAUCUGGUGGUUCUACUUCAAUGGGCUCCAAAACGGGUGGUUCUGCUGCUACAAGCACGAAAACUGGUGGUUCGCAGAAAGGUUCUGGUGGAUCCUCGGGAAGCAAGGUCCAGGGAUCAAGCAACGAUACUAUGAAGGCGCCUGGUCAGGACGGGUUCAUUUCAAGGAGUGGUUUUGAGAGUGACCCCAAAGGCUAUUUCAAAGGUCUUCGUGAUUAAGUCUGAAUAAUUAAGCAAGUAAUCAAGUGUUUAUCUAUGCAAUAUAACUAUUAUGAAGUGUAUGAUCUCCGGCAUUUGAUCUAUAUAUAAAACUUAAAGCUUUAUAUUAAUAUUUCAACUAUGUUCUUGAAUUUUAUUGUGCAUGCAUGCUGAAGACAAGUAAAACUUUUACUACAAAACCAAAAGUGAAAAAUAGAAUUUUAACGAGUGAUGAUCACGUAGACAACGAGUUCAUAACAUGUCACAGUUUUCUGAAAAAAGCAUGUCAGUUUUCUGAAAAAAGCAUAUGUCGCAUGAUUUGGGGAUGUUUUUUACCGGUAUAAAACAGCAUAAAUCAAUUAGAAUUACUUUGUAAUAAUAUGAUUAAAAUAUUAGAAGAAACUAAAACAGAUGUUAUAUUCCUGAAAAAAAUAUACAGGUGCUUUUCGAAAAUUUGUUAGGUGUCCCGAAAAAAAUAUUUCUAGAUUCACUGGAUGGAGUCCCUAUAUUAUCAACCGUUUUCAGUUGUUAUAAUUGAAAACAACGAACUUUCAUAUGAUAUCAUUGAUGUAUUUUAACAAUUGUUAUCAUCUUAUAAAAUCAUCAUCGCUACAUAAAUAGAUCUUAAAAUAUGAUACAAGAGAAGUAUUUUAUAAAGUUAAAGAUGAGAGUGUGUGAAUAUCUAUCUAUUUCUUACCUCUUCUCAAUAGUUUCAAGUUUAAUGGGAGAAAAUUAAAAGCCAAAAGUCAUGGAAUUAGUUUAAUGAGAGAAAAUUAAAAACCAAAGAUCAUGGAAAAAUUCCAAGAACCAAAAAGUCAUCCAUAAAAUCAUUUUAUAACAAUAUGUCUAAUAUUCUUACAAUUCUAAUAUUUUAAAAAUGGUCUCAUAAGAUAAUCGAUCUUGUAAUAUAUGUCUAAUAUUUUAUUUUUCAGUUAAUAUAUAUUAAUUAUUUCUAGUAAUUAAAAUAUAUGUCAAUUCUAAUGAAACUAAUCAACAUGAUUCAAGUAGGUGAGAUCAGCGAUUUUUCGGUAUGAUUUAAGUUUCAUCCAAUAUCUAGGCUUUGGCUCCAACAAUAUACAGAUAUUGAUGGUUCGAUAUUUUCUCAUUCCCGUCAUUGUCCAUAUAGCAAACAAAUUAAAUAGAUAACAAAAACCAGAAAAUAUGCAUGACAAAAAUUCGAACAAUCGAAAAAAUGUGAAAUCAAUAAGAAAUGUCUAUUUCAUGAUUUUUUUCAAAUUUAAUUAAUGAGUUAUUUUAUUAUUAAAUGUCAGUUCUUAUAUAUUUAUAUUUAUGUACCGGUAGUUUUCUUUCGAUAAUUAAAUAUAAAUUCUUAUUAGAAAAUAAUAAAAACAGUGAAAAAACUAAACUAAAUCAAAUCAAUUACAUAUACCAUAAUUCGAAGAGUUGAGAAUUCGUAGGUUAUUGGCUGAACAUCCGAUAUUAAUAAUUUUAUUUUAGAAAUUUGAAAUAUACAUAUUAUUUUAUAAUACUCAACACCAUCAAAAUUCUUUUAAUUUUGCCAUUUUGUAGUCAGAUUUAUAAAAUAGAGUUUUUGUUUGAUGUCUACAUGACCGAUAACCAGGAACAAAGAAAUUCUUCGACAAAUAGAUUUCAAGUAAAUGAAAAUAUAUAUUAAAAAAACAAUUUAUGAUGCAUUUGAGCUGUACUCGUGCGAGUUGGAUUAUAAAUAUUUGAAGGUAACAGAGUUUUCUUGUUUAAACUUUUAAGUUAAGUGCUUGGACGUGUUUAUGAUUUAAAAUGAGAAAUUAGUUUGAAAUAAAUUUUUUGAAAUAUUAAUUUUUAUAAAAAUGACCAACAAAGCAUAUGUUAUUUAUAAAUUAUUUUUAUUUGAAUUAUUAUAUUUUUAUUAAUUUAUAAAUUAAAAUUAUCCAAAUAAAUAUUUUUACAUUAACUUAUUACAUAAUUCAUGAGUUUAAUCUCAAUCAAACUAUUUCAAAAACCGUACCUAAUCUUCUUCAUAUUUAUAUAAAGGAGGUUCCUCAGAGGAUGACGUGGCAUCUCUCAAGGACCUCCAUCUAAGUUUUCUAGCAUUUUUGUACUUUGUUAUUUUUAUUUUGAUUAAAACAAAUAGAUUCUUUGUCUUUUCAGCUUAUUAAUAUUAUUAUGAAUUACAGUUGCAGACUUUUUGUUUUCCUCUUCACGUGACUUCUUGCUUUCCAUGUGAUGACAGUAUAUAUAGAUGUUUAUGCAUUGAAUUGCUAAUUGGUUGUGAUUAACUUGAUGAGUAAUUUCGUUGAUAAAGAGAUCUAAUUGUUGAUUUGCAGAUGGCUCGUACUAAGCAAACUCUGCUCGCAGGUCCACCGGAGGAGAGACACCAAGAAAACAACUGGCUACCAAGGUCGGUGUCUGUUUGUAUAGUGUGAUUUUGUUGUAUGUUUGAUAUUGAACUUUUAUGAUGAUAUGUGUCGGUUAUUACAGUCAGCUAGGAAGUAUGCACCAACCACUGGUGGAGUGAAGAAGCCCCAUGGAUCCAUCAAAUACAGUGGAAUAAACCUUUAGGAGGUUCUCUGACAUCUUUCUACCUGGGCAUCUAUAAAUGUUGAAGUAUAUAUGUGAUAUGAAGAAGGAUCGUCUCCACUCGUGAAUUGUGAUGAUACUGUAAGUGUGGCAAUCUCCGUCGAGUUCUGCGUGGCGGUAUGAAAUUUUGAGGGGUCAGUGGGAGGCUUUGUCGCCUAUGUUGUGGCCUCGUGGGAGUUUUGCUUAAGCAAUAAGCACAUUUUCAAAUAUUUUUUCCUUGCUCAUGGGAGUGCUCAACUGGAGUUGCUUUAUCGCAUCGAAAAAAAGAUAUGGCAUGUUAAUAGAUAAAGGCGAAGGGAAAGUGAAAGUACAGGAUAAGUUUAGUGAUAUUGCUUUGAUAAAGAAACUUGAGCUCAUUAGUUUUAAUGAUCGAAGGGAACAAACAAGUAUCUUCUGGUAAUGCUGAUAGAAGUUUCAAAGGUUUUGGAGCAUAACAGUGAUAAAAAUAUACUAGCAUCUAUGGAACAAAAUAAUUUUGCACUUGUACGAAAACCUCAGAUGUUGGAUGAUGAUAGUGAAGAAGAAAAACCCAAGGAUUAUACCAAAUCAAGCUCUACGGAAAAUUUAUCUUCUGAAAUGGUAUAUACAUCCAAAGUUAGCCCUGACCUGAACAAUCUUGUCCUUGAAGAAAAACCUCAGAUUUUGGAUGAUGAUAGUGAACAAGGAGGUCUUACCGGAUCAAGCUAAGUGAAGGUUUCAUCUGCUGAAAUGAUAAAAAAAAUCAUAUAAUUAACUUUUUGUUUUCCCAGCUUAUUAAUUGCUUCCAGAAACGGAACAUGAGGCUGAUGAAUAUUGUACAGAAAGGAAAUCUUUCGCUAGGUGAGCAAAGGUGUGAAUUGAAUGCAUUACAGAUCAAGAGUGAGACUCAAGCUGAAAUGCAGCUAAGAUUUUUACAACAUGACUAUGCCAGGCUCAAAAUAAACUUACCGAGGAUUCAAGUUUAAUUGUGCUUCUUUCCGUAGGUGCUAAAAACAAGUUAUAUCUUCUUAUAUUUCAAUAACAAAUACAAAAUAAAAGAAUUUAGAAAUUAUGGAUUCAGAAAUUAUAAAUGAAAAAGAUUUUUAAAAAGAUUUUAUAUUUAUUUCUCACUCGCGCGGAGCGCGUUUUUUUCACUAGUUUAGUUACUUAAUUUAGAUUUAAUCAAGUCAGUUUCUUGUACUUCAAAUACAGUGCAUCUAAACAAUCCAUCUUUCAAACCGUCUCUAAUCAAUUUUCAUUGAAAUUAACACCAAAGAAGCUGGAGCAUCAAAACAAACUUUUGCACUUCCAACCAAACCAUCUGUUUCAUAUGUCUCUUCCUAUAUAAACCCCCAAACUCUCCGCUUAAGCACACAUAACUACAACAAGUAUACAUUCUGUGCAGAAAGUGAAAAUGGCAGGUUCUAAAGGCUCGAAAUCUGGUGGUUCUACCUCAAUGGGCUCCAAAACGGGUGGUUCUUCUGCUACGCGCACGAAAAGUAGUGGUGGUUCGCAAAAAGGUUCUGGUGGGUCCUCGGGAAGCAAGGUGCAGGGAUCAAGUAACGAUACUAUGAAAGCUCCUGGGCAAGAUGGGUUCAUUUCAAGGAGUGGUUUUGAGAGUGACCCCAAAGGCUAUUUCAAAGGUCUUCAUGAUUAAGUCUCUAUAAUUAAGCAAGUAAUUAUCAAGUGUCGAUCUAUGCAAUAUAGCUAUUAUGAAGUGUAUGAUCUCCGGCAUUUGAUCUAUAUAUAAAAGUUUAAGCUUUAUAUUAAUAUUUCAGCUAUGUUCUUGAAUUUUAUUGUGCAUGCAUGGUGAAGACCAGUAAAACUUUUACUACAAAGCCAGAACAAAUCUUCGUUAAGGCGUGUGAAAAUAGAAUUUUAAUGAGUGAUGAUCAUGUAGACAACGACUUCAUAACAUGUCACAGUUUUCUGAAAAAAGCAUAUGUCGCAUGAUUUGGGGAUGUUUUUUUACUAUAAAACAGCACAAAUCAAUUUACUUUGUAACAUAUCUGUUCCCGGAUACAAAAUUAAAUUGAGAUUUGGUGAUAUCAUUGUGAUUUGCCCGCACAUAUUAUAAAUUAAUAGAACAUAUUUUUUUAUUUACUUUUACAUUUUUUAAAAUAAAAAUAAAAAGUUAUAUUUUAAGAAAGAUAAGAUUCAUAAAUAAUUCAAAGGAACCACUCUCCCCUUAUUAAAUAUCUGUAUUUUAUAUUUUGACUAUAUAAAAGAUAAGAUAAUCUGGCUGCUUUCAUGCUUUUAAUUUGUUACUUAUGUUUUAUUCUGAUCUUAUCUUCUGAGUAUUUUGUGAAGCUUGAAUCACGAAAUGAAUGGUCAGUUUUGCUAUACAGUAAAUGAUGAUGUUUUUUAUUUUCUUAGCAAUUAUAUACACAUCUCAUCUUGUUAAAACUAAACAAAACAAACCAGGCAAUUGCAAUAAUUAAUUAGUUAUCAAUUUUACUACAUUAUUUAAUCGAAUUUUCUAUAGUGCGCCCAAGGGCACACAAUAGUCACUAACAUACAUGAAAAUACUAGCUUUUGAUUGGUGGAGGGAUAAUAAAUGUAAAUAGCGCACUGCAUUCACAUCAAUUCCACCAAUCAAAACAAGCUAUUUUCAUGAAAGUUGGUGCUUAUUGUGUGCUUUGGGCACACAUUAGAAAGACCGUUAUUUAAUUAUUCUUCUUCCUAGUCUGAAGAGCCUACAUAUUUGGUCUGGUGCAAAAGAAUAAACCUAAACAAAUUUUCGCCCAUAUCUCAAUUAAUUAUGAAUAAUAAUUUUGCAAUUUACACACAUUAACGGUUUAAUUGAUGGUUGAUUGUUGGAACAUGUUAGUAAUAUAUAAAAAGAAAGCAUGGAGAUGUGUUUACAUCUCUUGCAUGCUUACUUCGUGAUAAAGCAUUAGGAAUUAGAAUUACCCACAAUGUAUUCAAACUCCUGCAGCAUUUAAAUCGAUCGCUAAUUAUUUCAAAACAGAGUUAGUACUUACUAACUUGAUGCAUUUGAACUCGUGCACAUUUUAAAACAUCCGUAAGUGUUUCUCAUUCGGAAAUAUGUUAUCCCUUUUACUAGAAAAUAAUGAAUAAUUGUUUGCGUAAUGAUAAUUUAACGGAGAAACAAUAAUAUUUUGUUGUGUUUGGAGCCGGCGUGGUUGGAGCCUGGAAGGAAACAAAAAUCACUUUUGCAAGAAUUUGCUAAAAUUAAGUUAUAGAAACGUCAUAGAGAUCAUAAAAAUAUGGGCAAUGCUAGAUAUUCCAAAAAGUUUUCCCAAAAUAUUUUACCAAAUGAUGUGGCACACAAGUGGAAGAUUUUGAUUGGGUGAUUGAUGAAUAUACAAGGGGUCUCAUUAUUAUUGGAGAAAUGCAACCAAUGAGUGUAUGCCACAUCAUUUGAGAAAAAAAUUUGGGCUGAUGUUUUGGGGUAUGUAGCAUUUUCCUAAAAAUAUAUCAUGCUCCGCCUACAUAUACAAAUGACAACUCAGGUGGGCGGAAUAUUCAUCGGUAACGAGCACGGGGAAGCCUGACCAUCAAGUCAAAUUUUACCAUUCCAAAACAAAAACCCACAUUAAACAAUGCCCCUGACUAUCAGUUUCUUACUCUCCUCUCCUAUAUAAACCAGCACUCUCUUUGCAUAACCUCACAGUCACAACAAUUAAAUCAUAUUUCUCUCUACUUUGCAGUUGAAAUGGGUUCUUGUGAAAGCACUGAAAGAUCCAGCCCCAACGGAGAUGGCUUGUUAACCACAGCUGAAAUCGAAGAAAAGAGAAAGAAAGAGAUCAUAGAGGCAGCCAAGGUUGCUGGUGGCCUGGUGGCGGCUGGUGUAAUUGCAUGGGGAGUGUCUAGCUUAUUCUCCUCUGAAUCAUCUGGGAACAGGAAAGUGAUGAAAGCUCCUGGUAGAAAUGGUUACAUCUACAGGGAUGAAUUUGAGAGUGACCCUGCACGCUAUUUCAGAAGCCUUCGUGAUUGAGUGUUAAGUGCUAUGUUUUGGUAUUACUAUUAUGAUUUUAAUGAUAUUAUGGAUUAUUAAGAUCAAGCUAAUGUAAUCGAAUUCUGGAUUUUAUUUAAAUAUUGUUUACGAAAUGUUUGCAUGACUGCAUGUAUUAUAAAAUAUGAAAUAAUUCAUGUGAAUUGGAUUUCAACAGACUCAUGAAUUAGGUAACUGUAUAUAGUAGAACGGGAUGAAAAAAUCAUAAGAAUACGUGGUUUGUUGUUAUAAACACAUCAAUUUAACUCAUGUGUUAUGUUCCAGUGAGGUUAUAAAUUUUCAACUUCCAAGUUUGGAACAACAAAAAUUGCCAUGUUUAUUAGUUUUGAAACUGGCGAUCAUAUGUUCAAUAAAACUAAGAUAUUGGGGAAAUUUAAAUUUAUAUAUAUUUUUGUGGAGAUUAUACUUUUUAACGAGUGACCAGGUUUUUGCUAUGAUAAUUUUCAGUUAAUUAUAAAAUUUCUUGAGAAAAUGGUGAAUAAGUGAUAGUUAUUUAUGUAUAAAUAACUAUUAUUCCAGGGGACUGCACUUCCGCAUGUCUUCUCUCAGUGAUCGCUUAGAGCCCCUCUUUCGGAGGUGGACCCGGGUUCGUUAAAUCAAAGGAGCUAAAUGAAAAUAAUCUCUACUAGCAAUUUAAAAUUAUAUAAAAAUUGUCCAGUUGAUAGAAUGAUGACGUAGCAUUUAAUAUUUUCUUUUUCUAGUUUCAAUAUACCCUUUAAAUCAUAGCUAAGUUUUGUGACGUCUGAAUUGUUUUAAUUUUUUAACAUUGAUGUUUAAUAUAUAAUCAAACAAAUGAUGGCGAAUAAUUUUAUAAUUAAUAAUUAAAAGUUAUAACUACAACUCACAUAGUAGCUUCUAAUUGCUAUUUAUAGAUGAAAACGUCAAAAACAAUCAACGAGACUAAAUUUUCUUGAGGAUAAUACUUUUAUAUCUAAAAACCCUGGUAUCAUGUGAGUUUUUAUUAACUUUUGGAUUUAUAACUUUUCCCUUUAUUUUACACAAUCUAGGAUUUAACUGGCAAAUCCAUUUUGAGUCGGGCAAUGUGGCGUAUAGCCCUGUCAUAUAAGCAAUCUACUAGUAAAUACAGUCAUGUUAUUAAAGGGCUGAGUCAUUUAAUCUGACUGGGCUUGAAUUGGAAGAAGGUUAUAUAUUAAAUGGGCCACAAAAUUUUUACCCGGGCUGGAGUCCAUCUGAGCCCAGCCUGAGGUCUGGCUCUCUCCUAUGGUUUUAUCAAGAAAAAUGCUAUAUACCUCAAAAAUCCAUCCCAAAUUUUUUUUCAAAUAAUGUGACAUACUUGGUUGCAUUCACUCAAAUCAAUAAUAAUGAAAUCCUUUCAUAUAUUCAUCUCACCCAAUCAAAAUCUUUCACUUCUUCGGAGUCUAUACCCUUCCUGAUAAGUUUCAUUAUUCCCCAAAUUUUGUUUGCAGAGAACCCGCCAACGCUCGUGAAACAACAACUAUAAAUUAUCUAACUUCUUAAACUAUAAUUAGAAACGAAAAAAAUGGAAACAAAAAUGAAAAAUAUAGUAGAUGACAAAUGAAUUAUAAGAAAUAUUUGAUUAAUUUAAAUCUAAAAAGCCGAAAGGGACAAUUCUUAUAAAAUAAACAACUUUCGUAUAAUAACUAAACGAAAUAAUAAAUCAAUUACUACAUUAUACUGUAAAUUUUGUUUAUAAUAAUUCAAAAUUACUCAUGUUUACAUAAUUCCAGACCGAGGUAUUAACAUUCAUGGGUAACGAGCAGCUUGACCAUCAAGUCAAAUUUCACCUCUCCAAAACAAAACCCCACAUUAAACGAUGCAUCAGACUAUCAGUUUCUAUAUAAACCAGCCCUCUCUCUUUGCAGAACCACACAAUAAGUGUAAUAUUUCUCUUUAGCUUUAAUUCAAAUGGGUUGCUGUGAAAGCACAGAAAGGUUCUGCAGGCCGAACGGAGAUGACUUGUCUGCAUGCGAGCUUGCCAUUGGCCUGGCGGUGACUGGUACUAUGAUUGCAUGGGUAGUAUAUAGGUUAUGCUGUUCUGGAUCAUCCCGGAAUUGGUUAUAUCUACAGGGAAGACUUUGAGACUGACCCUGAAUUAGAUGUGGCAAUAUGGUUGCAAAACCAUUAAACCAAUCCAAACCAAACCAAAAUUGUGGAUUUGGAUCCAUUUAAAAUCACAUUUAGAAAAAUGGAUUUGGUUUGGUUUCUAGUCUCACAUUUCUCACAAAAUAUGGAUCAAACCACAUGUGGUCUCACUUUUAGGAUUUCUUAUAAGUCUCCACACACACUAUUAUUUCCUUUUUUUUUUAAUUUCUUUCUUUUUGCUAGUUACCACACAUGCACAUCCCAUGAUUCAAACUCAUGAACUUAGUUGGAAAAGCCAAGAUCUUGAACCACUACAUCAACUCACACACGAACACACACUUUUGUUAUAUUUAGUAUUCAUUAUAUUGUCACUUGAGUGUAUUAAUUUUUGUUCAUUAUAUAAUAUUUAUUUUUACUUACUAAACUAGUUACCCAUAAUUUAAACUAAAACCAUAAUCACAUUUACUAAUAUAUGGUUAGGAAAUGGUUUUGGUUUAUUUCUCCAAACUAAAUCCAUUUUAUAAGAACCAAAACCAAACCAAAAUCAUAUUUCGCCACCUCUCCUGAAUAUUUCAGAAGCCUUCAUGAAUGAGCCCUUUGGGAUGCUGAUUAAGUCAAGUCCAAUAUGUUUGCUAGUGUUCUGGUAUUAUUGUCAUGAUUUUGAUUAUAUUAUGGAUUUUUAAGACGAAAUAAUGCAAUGAAAUUAUGUAUUAUUAAGAUGAAGCUAAUGUAAUCGAAUCUAUACUAUAAUAUAAUAAGUCAACAUAGGUUUAAUUUGUAGUCGUACAAAACUUUGGUUUGGUCAUCUCCUUUAUAACUACAAGUCGGUCACAUGUAGACUUCUCUUACUCUUACAAUAUUAAAGAGUUUUAUACCGUUCAAAUUACAAACUCUUGUGAUGUAAUACAAGAUAAAAAAAACUCCAUCAUUAUUCUUUUAAAUAUAAUUUAUAUAUUAUUUAUAUACUAUAUUAUAAUAAACCGAUAUUGGUAUAAUUCGUAGUCGUCCAAAAAAUGUAAUCAGUUGGUAAAUAUAAUCUGGUUAAAUCUAAUCCAUUAAUAUUAAAAUAUUAACAAGAUGAUGUUAAAAUUUAAAUUAUAAUUAAUAAAUUACGAACAACAUAGGUUUAAUUUGUAGUCGUACACAAUUUUGGUUUGGUCAUCUCCUUUAUAACUACAAGUCCGUCACAUGCAGACUUCUCUUCCUCUUACAAAAUUAAAGAGUUUUAUACCGUCCAAAUUACAAACUCUUGUGAUGUAAUACAAGAUAAAAAAAACUCCACCAUUAUUCUUUUAAAUAUAAUUUAUAUAUUAUUUAUAUAUUAUAUUAUAAUAAACCGAUAUUGGUAUAAUUCAUAGUCAUCCUAAAAAUGUAAUCAGUUGGUAAAUAUAAUCUGGUUAAAUCUAAUCCAUUGAUAUUAAAAUAUUAACAAGAUGAUGUUAAAAUUUAAAUUAUAAUUAAUAAAUUACGAAUUCUAUACCCGCCCGUGCUUCGCACGGGUUAAAGGCUAGUACUUAAUUAUAUUUAAAUAUUGUUUAUGAAGUGUCUGCAUGACUGCAUGUAUUAUAAAAUAUGAAAUAAUUCAUGUGAAUAGAAUUUUAACAGACUCAUGACUCAUGAAUUGGGUCACUGUGCUAGAAAGGGAUGAAAAAUUCAUAAGAAUAUGUGGUUUGUUAUACAGGUCAACAGCAAUUUAACUCAUGUGUUUAUGUUCCAUUAAGGUUAUAAAUUUGCAAUUUUCAAGUUUGGAACAACAAAAUUGCCAUGUUUAUUAGUUUUGAAAUUGACGAUCAUAUGUUCAAUAAAACUAAGAUAUUGGGGAAAUUUAAAUUUAUGUAUAUAUUUUUGUGGAGAUUAUACUUUUUAACGGGUGACCAAGUUUUUGUUGUUAUAAUUUUCAGUUAAUUAUAAAAUUUCUUGGAAAAAUGGUGAAUAAGUGAUAGUUAUUUAUGUAAAAUAAAUAUUAUUCCAAGGACUUGCCCUUCGACACUAGUUCUAUCAUCAUUUCGCUUGAAGCCCCUCUUCUAUCAAUCCAAUGGUGUGGCUGUGGCAUUCCAUAUGAAUUUUUUUUUUUCUUCCACAAUCAGAAUGUUAGUGAUAUUCUUCGACCUACUUUUUUUAUGCAAAGCUCAAUUUUGAAAAAAACUACUAUCUUGAUAAGUUCGCGCAAAAUUUUAUAUACAAAGAUAUGCAAUUGAUGGCCUUUUAUUGCUGCGCUAGUGCCCUGGUUGUACUUGCGUGUUUACUCCACAACCCGCAACUAAGAGUAUAAUUUAUCUAACUUUUUUUUUUGAAACAAUAAUUUAUCUAACAUUUUAAACUAUAAUUUGAAACGAAAAAAAUGAAAACAAAAAUGAAUAAUAUAGUACAUGACAAAUGGAUUAUAAGAAAUAUUUAAUUAAUCCAAAUCUAAAAAGUCGAAAGGGACAAUUCUUAUAAAAUAAACAACUUUCAUAUAAUAACUAAAAGAAAUAAAUCAAUUUAUUUCGUUUUGUCUUUGUUCGAACGGCUAAGAGGACCUCCUGGCUCCUUGGUAAUCAAAAAAUAUAGGUAGCAUGCCAUGAAUAUAAUAUAUAGAUAAUAUAUUUGUGAAAUAUAAUAUAUUGAUAAUAGACUAUAUGGUAAUAUAUUGUCAAAAUAGACAUAUAAAAAAGGACUGAUAGAAUAUUAAAUAAUAUUUUUUAUUUAUAAUAAGUUUAAAUAAUAUACCAGAUGUCAUUAAUUCGAGCUGAUAACAUCUGCUGCAACAUUCUAAUCGUAUCCGCAAAUUAUAAUGGAUGACGACAUAUUUCAAAACCAAGGUAUUAUUAAUAUUCAUCGGUAACGAGUACAGGGAAGUCUGACCAUCAAGUCCAAUUUUUUCCCUCCAAAACAAAACCCCACAUUAAACGAUGCGGCUGACUAUCAGUUCCCCACUCUUAUCUCCUAUAUAAACCAGCCCUCUCUCUGCAGAACCUCACAAUAAGUAAAUUACAUAUUUCUCUUUAGUUUGUUGAAAAAGGGUUGUUGUGAAAGCAUAGAAAGCUCAAUGCCGAAUGGAAAUGACUUGUCUGCAUCCGAGCUUGCUAUUGGCCUGGUUGUGGCUGGGGUAAUUGCAUGGCUAGUAUGUAGCUUAUGCUGUUGUGGAUCAUCCCGGAACAAAAAAAGUGUUAAAAAAAGCUUCUCGUAGAAAUGGUUAUAACUACCGGAAUCAUCCCGGAAGUAAAAAGUGAUAAAAGCUCUGGGAUGCUGAUGAAGUCUUUAAUUAUGUUUGCUAAUGUUUUGGAAUUAUUUUUAUGAUUUUUAAUUGUAUUAUGGAUUUUGAUGACGAAGCUAAUGCAAUGAAAUUCUUGAUUAUAUUUGAAAGUCUGUCUGUGUAUAAAACAUGAAAUCACUCAUGUGAAUUGAAUUUCAACGACUCAGUAAUUUAACUCGACUCAUGUGGGUUGUGUUAUGCAAUUGUUAUAAAUUUGCAACAAGAGUUGCCAUCAAAUUAUAAUAUGUUUACUGGUUUCGAAUUCGAUCAUAUAUUAUUUUCAAAAAAAAAAUAAAAAUUCGAUCAUAUAUUAAACUGUAGUAUUAAGAUAUUGGAGAAAUUUUAAAUUAUGUUUAGUUUUCCGAUGUUUAAAUCAUCUUCACCGGUUAGGAAAAUGAAAAUUUUGUUGUUCUGCCUACCUUUUGAUUUUUCUAGAAUUUGCAAAAUAAAAAAGUUGAAAUCAUUUUCUUAAUAAAUAUUAAAAGAAAAAUUCAAAAUAAAUAUAAAAAUAUCAAAUAAAAAAAUAUCAAAAUAUUCUUAUAAAAAUUUAUUGAAUUUUGUUUUAAGAUAAUUGAACAUGAAAGAUAAUAUAAACUUCGAAUUUUGAUUUCUUCCGUAUAAACCGGAUAUAUGAAAGUUUUGACCGAGACUUCUCAUAGGUUUCGAACUUUUUUUAAAAAAAUCAUAGGUAUAGAACUCUUAGCUUCUGUAGUUCAAUCUUGAGCUCUUCGAGGAUACAUUGCCUCGUCACGUUACAGUCUACGUUGCAAAAUAUACGGUUAUGAUGCUGAUCUUCUGGAAAAAUAUCCACCUUUUUAAUUGUUUUAACGCAUGAUUGUGCAGGUGUAUGUUUGAUUAAGAACUUUGGUGCUGCGUUAUGGGAUGCUUUUGUAGUUGUUUUCGUGUCCCGGAGGAGGAGGAUGGCGGUGCUGUGGUGGUUGUUUCUGGUAGCCAAAAUCGCGGACCUUUCAGUUACAUGGCACAAUUUUUCGAUAACAAGGUAAUUUAACCACUCUUUAGUGAGUUAGUGAGUUAGGUGUUGAAUUUCUGCCGGCUCCAAUGUCAUUAAUAAUGAUGGCUUCUACAAAAAUCUUUCAAUUAAGUAAAAAAUAGUUGUUAGUGUGCGGCCAUGGGCACACAGUAGAAAGACUAAUUUGCUAAAUAUUGCACGAAAUCUACAAUGGUCCUGAAAUUAGAAUCGUUUAGUUAUGAUUUGUUCGAGGAUUAGAUGAGUAUUGUUGAAUUUUUGUUUGGUUUCGUUAAAAGUAGACGGUGGAAUUGACAUUUGAGUGAAAUUUCUGACAGUAUGGAGUUGUAUCUGGGAACCCUUCUUCUGCACAGACAGAAGUUAGGACUAAUACGCAUGCAUCAUCAGAAUGCAGUUCAAGUUCCAGAAAUCUUGAAUUUCAGCGGCAUGUUGCUGUUGUAGAACCAGGCAGAGGAUUGAGAUUUUUGCAGUCAGAGCAUGGGCCACCUGAAGGGCACGAUGUGCUAGUGAAGAGGCCUUAUAUUGCCACACCAGAAGCUGGCACUAAUACGCCCCAGGGUACAUUUUUACCAAACAGUUUGAGGUCUAGGAAUCUUGAUCUGGAAGGGAAUGCUGCUGUCCAAGGAAAUGGCACAGUCUCGGCUCCUUUGCAAUUGAGGCACGGGCCAGCUGAAGGACACGAUGAGCAAGCGAAUGUGUGUAGUAAAAGCAAAGACAAUGCAGGCGGAAUUUCAAAGGAUGAUAAGGCUGAAGCCCUUCGUGUUGCAUCCCCUGUAAACGUGUCAUCUGAGAGAGUUGAGACUGAAUAUAAACAAGUCUUUUGUUUAACAAGAGGUGAAGUAGAAUGCCCUACAUGCCUCGAAGGUAUUUAUACUUUCUUAUAGCUUAAUUGUUAUGCUAUCGAAGUUAGAAUUGUUUUGUUAAUGCUAUUCUCUGAAUGAUUACAGAAUAUACUGAUGAAAAUCCCAAGAUAACUUCACUAUGUAAUCACAAUUUUCACCUAGGUUGUAUCUAUGAGUGGAUGGAAAGAAGCUCUACCUGUCCAAUGUGCUUUGAGGUAGGAUGCUUCUUCUUUAUAUUGCUCCAAUCCAAGAAUUUGUAUGAAAUUACAGAUUAAAGUUCUGUUUCUGUUCUGCGUGCACAUGUGUCACUGAUUGCACAGAUUACUCUUAUUUGAUUUGCUCAUUUGACAUUAGCUUCACAGCCAAAUUCUUUCUUUCCUUUGACAUGCCUUUGAAUCUCUUCUCCAGGAAAUGAAAUUUCUUGAAAAUAUUUAGCAGCACGGCCUGAGAACAACUGAGGCUAGUCAAGAUCACUCAAGAGAAGAAAAUGGAGAACGCAGUGUCUAUUGUUAGAAACUUGCCAACGAAUAUGGGAACUUUUAUUGGAGGUAAGAUGUAUAGAAAAAUUUAGGUUCUGAAUGCCAGAUUAGUUAUAAUCAUAGUAGGCUGAUUUGAUCAAUAUUAUAUAUCUGUGAAGAAUAUGGAGAGCAUUAUAUCUCUCUGGUUAUUGUAGAUCGUUUCCUGUUCCUGUACCUCUUCCAUGUUAAAUUCUUGAGUUUCAGCAUAAUAUUUCUUUUAAUGUUGGCAAGUCCCAAUCCAGGAAAAGGUUAGGAUCCAGCCAUACUUAUGCAUUCAACCAAAACACGUAAAUAUGGUGAUAAUAUUGUAAAGUUCCAGAAAAUCGCCCAGAACCUUAAAAAAUGAAUACAUAAUCUAGGGAGGCCCAGGUCAAUAAUCUGCUGGGAGGUCCUGUGCAAAACUAAAUUAUGAAUUCGAACAGACAUACAGUAGUGAUUGAUGUAAAUGAAGUAGUCGAUAAUAAGAUCCUGUAAUCUCCUCAGCUGGGUUGACAACAAAUUAGAUAAAAUUAUAAAUUAUGAUAUAAUUUCCUCAGCUGGGACACACAAAAACAUCAAAACGAACACACACAUCCCGAAAAUAUGGGUACGACUAACAACCUUGAUAACAAGGUACUCAACAAGAACUCAUCCAAAAAGGGUUAGAUCUUGAUUUUAUUAAUAAAACGAUAAAUAUGAGAGAAGAUGGAAGAGCGAAAAUGAUUACUCAGGGAAGAGGAUGAAGAUUGAAGGCGGAGAAGUGGCGGCUAGAACGUAGGUCGACUCUCAAAACUGCAAACCCUCACCUACGUGUUCUUAAGAAUAUUUAACUUAUACUACUUUAAUUAUAGAUAAUGAAACUUAACGUCUUUAAUUAACACAAAAAUUGGAAAAGCAAAAAUUUAACUAUAUCAAUAUCUUUAAAUGUGUGUGAGAAAACACCAAAUGUCGAUUAUUUGAAUAAAAAGUAUACGUGUGAGUGCUUAAUCUUGGACAACUUGUGAAAAUCUGUCAUGAUCAGGGGCGGAACCAAGGGGGGCUAGCCCCGGCGCCAGCCCCGGCUGAGAAAAAAAUAAUAAGUAUAAUUUAUUUAUUUUUAGUUUUUUAGCCCGGGGACAAAUUUAAAAAUGAUUAUAUAUAUAAAAAAUAGCCCACUUAACAUGGUGGUUUACAUCGAGAAGGUCAUAUUUAAAGACAUAGAUGAUGAAGUUAUCUUACAACGCUAUCAAAAUAUGCGAAAUCGUAGAAUUUAGUUGUCAUCCAUUCCUUCCUAAAAAAAAGCAGUAAAGAUGUCGCCACUUAACCAAUUAAGAUAUGCAUAUUUACUUUUAAUUUUUUUGCUGAAAUUUUAAUAAUAAUUUAGCCGGGGGUCGAAAUUAAUCCUGGUUCCGCCACUGGUCAUGAUUCUGAUGCAAACAAGAGGAUUACUGUGCCGCAAAUGGUGGACGGGAUCAGAGCCUUGUAUGGUGCUGCUCAUCUAACAACGACAAAUUUACUUUCAUGGACCGUUUUUCUUCUGGCAGUCGACACAGAUUGGCAGGAUAAAGCUAGGAAGGAAGUGGUUCAACACUUUGGCCAGGAAAAUCCAUCGUCUGAUGGCAUUGCCAGGCUUAAAUCCGUAAGAAUAUUACAGGCCUAAUCAACACACACAAGUCAUAUGAUCUCUGGAAUUUAAUCAUUGUCAUGGUUCUUAUUUUAUUUUUUUUGCCAGUCAUGGUUCUGUUUUAAUUUUCUUGUAGAUGAACAUGAUUAUAAACGAGUCACUUAGACUCUACAAAUAUGGGGCAAAGAUGUUCAUCUCUUCAGACCAGAAAGAUUUUCUGAAGGGAUGGCUAAAGCGACAAAUAACAAUGCUGCAGCAUUCAUUCCCUUCGGUAUGGGGCCUCGGACUUGUGUGGGACUGAACUUCACAACAAAUGAAUCGAAGAUUGCACUUUCAUCACAACAAAUGAAUCGAAGAUUGCACUUUCAAUGAUCAAGGUACAAGUUCUCACUGUCCCCAAACAAUGUUCACCACCCUGCUGAUAUAUAUAUCCUCACCCGGAAAAAUGGAGUUAAAGUGAUACUUGAGAAACUUAACUCUUAGCAGAAGAAACUACUUAUUCUACUCCGAAGUUGUGAGUUGUUUGUAUAAUUAAUAUGUAAAUAGGAUUGAAGUUACAUAGAUUAUCGAAAUUAUGCAUUAAGUGUAUGAAAUUCAAGGAUUACAUUGAGUAUGGAGAAUGUGAGAUAAAUAAUAAUGUCAGAAUUGUGGUAUCUAAUCAUUGUACCAUGUAAUAUCAUUUUUUAAGAUACUUUUAAAUAUUUUUUAGCUGAAAAUGUACUAUGAAACAGCUGCAGAUUUCUUUUGAUAAACAUUAUUUAAAUUUUCUCCAAUAUCUACACCAACAACUUAUAUACAAAGACGCAAUGGUUGGACUCUUUUCAUUUUCCUUGGUUAAUAAAUUAAAUAAAUAACAAAAAAUGCAAAAAGUUUGAACAGUAAAAUAUUGUGAAAUCAACAAGAAAUGUAUAUUUCAUGAUUCUUUAAAUUUAAUUAACAUGAGUCACAUUUCAUUGUUAGAUGUUAUAUAUAUAUAUAUAAGAAUAAUUAAAUUUAAAGAGUUAUUAAAAAUAAAAUAAAAUAUCCUUUAUCAUGAAAAACUAAACUAAAUCAAACAUAUAUUAUAAAAAUCCAGUGCUAAUAAUCUUAUUUUAGAAAGUUUGGAAUAUACAUAUCAUUUCAUAAUGUAAAACCAAUAUCACCCGAAUUCUUUAAUUUUGCAUCUUUGUACCCAGCUUUACAAAAUAGAUUUUUGUUUGAUGGCUAAACGACUCAUAACAGCAACAAUGAAACUCUUCAAAGAAGAUAGAUUUCAAGUAAAUGAAAAAACAGACUUUUUUUUGUCUUUUUUGAAAUUUAUGAUGUAUUUGAGUUAUAAUCCUACAGAGUUGAAUUGUAAAAGCUAUGGACUGUAAUUUAGUAACUUAAAUUAGAUUAUUUCAAGACUCUCAAUGUCGUCACAUAAUUUCCUGUACUUCAAAUACAGUGCAUCUAAACAAUCCAUCUUUCAAACCGUCUCUAAUCAAUUUUCAUCUGAAAUCAACACCAAAGAAACUGGACCAUCAAAACAAACUGUUGCACUUCCAACUAAACCAUUUGUUUCAUAUAUCUCUUCCUAUAUAAGCCCCCAAACUCUCCGCUUAAGCAUACAUAACUACAACAAGUAUAUACUCCGAGCAGAAAGUGAAAAUGGCAGGUUCUAAAGGUUCGAAAUCUGGGGGUUCUACCUCAAUGGGCUCCAAAACGGGUGGCUCUGCUGCUACGAGCUCGAAAAGUACUGGUGGUUCGCAAAAAGGUUCUGGUGGGUCCUCGGGAAGCAAGGUCCAGGGAUCAAGCAAGGAUACUAUGAAGGCGCCUGGGCAGGAUGGGUUCAUUUCAAGGAGUGGUUUUGAGAGUGACCCCAAAGGCUAUUUCAAAGGUCUUCGUGAUUAAGUCUGAAUAAUUAAGCAAGUAAUCAAGUGUCGAUCUAUGCAAUAUAUAUAGCUAUUAUGAAGUGUAUCAUCUCCGGC